This is a non-coding RNA of Plectropomus leopardus (leopard coralgrouper), 281 nucleotides long. NCBI's taxonomy places the organism in Eukaryota, Metazoa, Chordata, Actinopteri, Perciformes, Serranidae. The record is from RefSeq and is a predicted model, not a curated record.
CAGGUACUCUCUGGGCAGCGUCUCUACUUCCUGGUGAGCCAUUCCUGACGACAUGAGCUCCUUUUCAACCACUCUGGAGGAACUCACUGCACCCCCUUAAACAUAAAGAGUCAGGCUGUCUGCACUUUUCUCAGAUUUGGAAAUAACGCACGGACAGUGGCGGAGGAGGGAAUGCCGGCGUAAAUAAAAACAUGAGGCUUCUCGCCACAGUCUGCAUGUGGUGAGUCGGGCUCAUUACACAAACACAAUCACACACAUAAUGUCACAGAAAGAAAAAGUCA